UCACACUCCACACAGUAGCCACAGCAAC
Molecule: non-coding RNA, 28 nt
Filed under: Mus musculus (house mouse)
Lineage: Eukaryota; Metazoa; Chordata; Mammalia; Rodentia; Muridae
Source: RNAcentral